AGAGUUUGAUUCUGGCUCAGGAUGAACGCUAGCUACAGGCUUAACACAUGCAAGUCGAGGGGCAGCAUGGGAUUAGCUUGCCAAUCCUGAUGGCGACCGGCGCACGGGUGAGUAACGCGUAUCCAACCUUCCCCCUGCUCAGGGAUAGCCCGCUGAAAGGCGGAUUAACACCUGAUAGCUUCACUGGAUGGCAUCUGACGGUGAAUAAAGAUAACGGCAAGGGAUGGGGAUGCGUCUGAUUAGCUUGUUGGCGGGGUAACGGCCCACCAAGGCGACGAUCAGUAGGGGUUCUGAGAGGAAGGUCUCCCACAUUGGAACUGAGACACGGUCCAAACUCCUACGGGAGGCAGCAGUGAGGAAUAUUGGUCAAUGGGCGGAAGCCUGAACCAGCCAAGUAAGCGUGCAGGAAGACGGCCCUAUGGGUUGUAAACUGCUUUUGUACGGGAAUAAAGUCAGGGACGUGUCCCUGUUUGCAUGUACCGUAAGAAUAAGGACCGGCUAAUUCCGUGCCAGCAGCGGC
RNAcentral lists this ribosomal RNA (520 nucleotides) under uncultured bacterium. RNAcentral describes it as "bacterial SSU rRNA". It matches the Rfam family "Bacterial small subunit ribosomal RNA", at positions 8 to 518 of the family's 1533-position model. The record is from RNAcentral.